AGUGCUGCAGCUAACGCAUUAAGCACUCCGCCUGGGGAGUACGACCGCAAGGUUGAAACUCAAAGGAAUUGACGGGGGCCCGCACAAGCGGUGGAGCAUGUGGUUUAAUUCGAAGCAACGCGAAGAACCUUACCAGGUCUUGACAUCCUUUGACCACUCUAGAGAUAGAGCUUCCCCUUCGGGGGCAAAGUGACAGGUGGUGCAUGGUUGUCGUCAGCUCGUGUCGUGAGAUGUUGGGUUAAGUCCCGCAACGAGCGCAACCCUUAUUGUUAGUUGCCAUCAUUNAGUUGGGCACUCUAGCAAGACUGCCGGUGACAAACCGGAGGAAGGUGGGGAUGACGUCAAAUCAUCAUGCCCCUUAUGACCUGGGCUACACACGUGCUACAAUGGGAAGUACAACGAGUUGCGAAGUCGCGAGGCUAAGCUAAUCUCUUAAAGCUUCUCUCAGUUCGGAUUGCAGGCUGCAACUCGCCUGCA
Molecule: ribosomal RNA, 477 nt
Filed under: Enterococcus faecium
Lineage: Bacteria; Bacillati; Bacillota; Bacilli; Lactobacillales; Enterococcaceae
Description: bacterial SSU rRNA
Rfam family: Bacterial small subunit ribosomal RNA
Source: RNAcentral